RNAcentral lists this ribosomal RNA (496 nucleotides) under uncultured organism. Its description in RNAcentral is "SSU rRNA". It matches the Rfam family "Bacterial small subunit ribosomal RNA", at positions 15 to 509 of the family's 1533-position model. The record is from RNAcentral.
ACUCGUGGCUCGAGGACGACGCUGGCGGCGUGCCUAACACAUGCAAGUCGAACGAAGCUCCCGAUCGGAUUCUUCGGAUGAAGAGAAGGAUGACUGAGUGGCGGACGGGUGAGUAACGCGUGAGCAACCUGCCUUUCAGAGGGGGAUAACAGUUGGAAACGACUGCUAAUACCGCAUAACAUAGUAUUGUCGCAUGGCAAAGCUAUCAAAGCUGAGGCGCUGAAAGAUGGGCUCGCGUCCGAUUAGAUAGUUGGUGGGGUAACGGCCUACCAAGUCGACGAUCGGUAGCCGGACUGAGAGGUUGAACGGCCACAUUGGGACUGAGACACGGCCCAGACUCCUACGGGAGGCAGCAGUGGGGGAUAUUGCACAAUGGGCGAAAGCCUGAUGCAGCAACGCCGCGUGAGGGAAGACGGUUUUCGGAUUGUAAACCUCUGUCUUUGGUGAAGAAGGAAGUGACGGUAGCCAAGGAGGAAGCCACGGCUAACUACGUGCC